This 1432-nucleotide ribosomal RNA is filed under the name uncultured prokaryote. RNAcentral describes it as "partial 16S ribosomal RNA". It matches the Rfam family "Bacterial small subunit ribosomal RNA". The record is from RNAcentral.
AGAGUUUGAUCCUGGCUCAGAACGAACGCUGGCGGCAGGCUUAACACAUGCAAGUCGAGCGCUUCACUUCGGUGAGGAGCGGCGGACGGGUUAGUAACGCGUGGGAACGUACCCUUUUCUAAGGAAUAGCCAUUGGAAACGAUGAGUAAUACCUUAUAAGCCCUUCGGGGGAAAGAUUUAUCGGUAAAGGAUCGGCCCGCGUUAGAUUAGAUAGUUGGUGAGGUAACGGCUCACCAAGUCUACGAUCUAUAGCUGGUUUUAGAGGAUGAUCAGCAACACUGGGACUGAGACACGGCCCAGACUCCUACGGGAGGCAGCAGUGGGGAAUCUUGGACAAUGGGCGCAAGCCUGAUCCAGCCAUGCCGCGUGUGUGAUGAAGGCCUUAGGGUCGUAAAGCACUUUCGCCAGAGAUGAUAAUGACAGUAUCUGGUAAAGAAACCCCGGCUAACUCCGUGCCAGCAGCCGCGGUAAUACGGAGGGGGUUAGCGUUGUUCGGAAUUACUGGGCGUAAAGCGUACGUAGGCGGAUCAGAAAGUAUGGGGGUGAAAUCCCAGGGCUCAACCCUGGAACUGCCUCAUAAACUCCUGGUCUUGAGUUCGAGAGAGGUGAGUGGAAUUCCAAGUGUAGAGGUGAAAUUCGUAGAUAUUUGGAGGAACACCAGUGGCGAAGGCGGCUCACUGGCUCGAUACUGACGCUGAGGUACGAAAGUGUGGGGAGCAAACAGGAUUAGAUACCCUGGUAGUCCACACCGUAAACGAUGAAUGCCAGACGUCGGGUAGCAUGCUAUUCGGUGUCACACCUAACGGAUUAAGCAUUCCGCCUGGGGAGUACGGUGUGGAAGAUUAAAACUCAAAGGGAUAGACGGGGACCCACACAAGCCGGUGGAGCACCUGGCUUAAUUCGAUAAUGAGCGAGGAACCUCACCUGGACUUGACAUCCCGAGAAUUUCCUAGAAAUAGGAAAGUGCCUUAUUGGAACUCGGUGACAGGUUGCUGCAUUGGUUGUCGUCAGCUCGUGCCUUGAGGUGUUCGGUUAAGUCCGUAAACGAGCGCAACCCAUGUCCUGUGUUGUAUUUUUCACGGGAGACUGCCGAUUCAAAGUCGGAGGAAGGUAUGGAUGACGUCAGAUCAGCAUGGCCCUUAUGUCCAGGGCUGCACAGGUGCUACAAUGGCAGGUACAAUGGGUAGCAAUACUGUAAGGCGGAGCCAAUCCUUAAAACCUGUCUUAGUUCGGAUUGAGGGCUGCAAUUUGCCCUCAUGAAGUUGGAAUCGCUAGUAAACGCGCAUCAGCAAUGGCGCGUUGAAUAUGUUCCUGGGUCUUGUACUCACCGCCAGUAACACUACGGAAGGUGGGGGCGCCCGAAGUACCCUUAGCUUUUAGCGGGGUCAUAAGGCGCAAUCACUGACUGGGGUGAAGUCGUAACAAGGUAACC